This 302-nucleotide long non-coding RNA is filed under the name Androctonus crassicauda. Lineage: Eukaryota; Metazoa; Arthropoda; Arachnida; Scorpiones; Buthidae. The record is from RNAcentral.
AAAUGACUGUUGGUAAAUACAGAAGAUGAAGAUGGUACACACAAGUACGCGCCAGUCGCUAGCAGUGACGGAUGAGGUGUGUAGUGUGUGUGUGUAUGCGGUGUCUUCCAAACAAUCUCGAGAACUUAAGAUCGACUUACUAAACUACGUCUCGACUUAUUUCCCGCCGCAAAGACAUUUCUCGAACCGGAUGUUCGACCCACACACACCGGAAGUCAUCAACUAUCGGUUCUGACACGGCACACACAACUGGUCGGGUGGCGGCUAAUCCCGAGUGCGUUUGGCCAGAAAAAAAGCAGUUG